GAUGAACGCUGGCGGCGUGCCUAAUACAUGCAAGUCGAGCGAACAGAUGAGGAGCUUGCUCCUCUGACGUUAGCGGCGGACGGGUGAGUAACAUGUGGAUAACCUACCUAUAAGACUGGGAUAACUUCGGGAAACCGGAGCUAAUACCGGAUAAUAUAUUGAACCGCAUGGUUCAAUAGUGAAAGACGGUUUUGCUGUCACUUAUAGAUGGAUCCGCGCCGCAUUAGCUAGUUGGUAAGGUAACGGCUUACCAAGGCAACGAUGCGUAGCCGACCUGAGAGGGUGAUCGGCCACACUGGAACUGAGACACGGUCCAGACUCCUACGGGAGGCAGCAGUAGGGAAUCUUCCGCAAUGGGCGAAAGCCUGACGGAGCAACGCCCGUGAGUGAUGAAGGUCUUCGGAUCGUAAAACUCUGUUAUUAGGGAAGAACAAAUGUGUAAGUAACUAUGCACGUCUUGACGGUACCUAAUCAGAAAGCCACGGCUAACUACGUG
This 496-nucleotide ribosomal RNA is filed under the name uncultured bacterium. Its description in RNAcentral is "partial 16S ribosomal RNA". It matches the Rfam family "Bacterial small subunit ribosomal RNA", at positions 28 to 507 of the family's 1533-position model. The record is from RNAcentral.